UCGAAAGAUGGCAGGGGACUUUCCACAGA
This 29-nucleotide non-coding RNA is filed under the name Macaca fascicularis (crab-eating macaque). Lineage: Eukaryota; Metazoa; Chordata; Mammalia; Primates; Cercopithecidae. RNAcentral also lists the same sequence under 1 other name. The record is from RNAcentral.